Molecule: ribosomal RNA, 250 nt
Filed under: uncultured bacterium
Lineage: Bacteria
Description: partial 16S ribosomal RNA
Rfam family: Bacterial small subunit ribosomal RNA
Source: RNAcentral
UACAGAGGGUGCGAGCGUUAAUCGGAUUUACUGGGCGUAAAGGGCACGUAGGCGGUAGAAUGUGUGUGAUGUGAAAGCCCCGGGCUCAACCUGGGAAGUGCAUCGCAAACUAUUUAACUAGAGUAGAUGAGAGGGUGGCGGAAUUUCCGGUGUAGCGGUGAAAUGCGUAGAGAUCGGAAGGAACGUCAAUGGCGAAGGCAGCCACCUGGCAUCAUACUGACGCUGAGGUGCGAAAGCGUGGGGAGCGAAC